Molecule: ribosomal RNA, 532 nt
Filed under: Amolops viridimaculatus (Dahaoping sucker frog)
Lineage: Eukaryota; Metazoa; Chordata; Amphibia; Anura; Ranidae
Also listed under: 1 other name
Description: partial large subunit ribosomal RNA
Rfam family: Bacterial large subunit ribosomal RNA
Source: RNAcentral
CAUCGCCUCUUGACCAAGUAUAAGAGGUCCAGCCUGCCCAGUGACAUAGUUUAACGGCCGCGGUACCCUAACCGUGCAAAGGUAGCAUAAUCACUUGUUCUCUAAAUAGGGACUCGUAUCAAUGGCAUCACGAGGGCUGUACUGUCUCCUUUCUCCAAUCAGUGAAACUGAUCUCCCCGUGAAGAAGCGGGGAUUGACCUAUAAGACGAGAAGACCCCAUGGAGCUUUAAACCCAAUAUACACCUCCUACGCACUCAAAUCAAUAUAGCCCAAGAGACUUGUGUAUCGGUUUUAGGUUGGGGGGACCGCGGAGUAAAAUUAAACCUCCACGACAGACGGAUUAACACCCUUAUCCACGAACUACAAUUCUAAGAGCCAAUAAAUUGUUGUCUAAUGACCCAAUUACUUGAUCAACGGACCAAGUUACCCUGGGGAUAACAGCGCAAUCUACUUCGAGAGCCCCUAUCGACAAGUAGGUUUACGACCUCGAUGUUGGAUCAGGGUAUCCUAGUGGUGCAGCCGCUACUAAAGG